AGAGUUUGAUCCUGGCUCAGGACGAACGCUAGCGGCGUGCCUAAGGUAUGCAAGUCGAGCGGUUCAGUAUCCUUCGGGGUACUGGAUAGCGGCGAACGGUUGAGUAACACGUAGACAACCUGCCUCCAAGUUGGGGACAACCCCGCGAAAGCGGGGCUAAUACCGGAUGUGGCGGUUUCGAGCAGUCGAGAUUGGCUAAAGGGCUUCGGCUCGCUUGGAGAUGGGUCUGUGGCCUAUCAGCUAGUUGGUGAGGUAACGGCCCACCAAGGCGACGACGGGUAGCUGGUCUGAGAGGAUGAUCAGCCAGACGGGGACUGAGACACGGCCCCGACUCCUUCGGGAGGCAGCAAUGAGGGAUAUUGCACAAUGGGGGAAACCCUGAUGCAGCGACGCCGCGUGGGUGAGGAAGUCCUUCGGGAUGUAAAGCCCUUUUGCAGGGGACGAGAACGGACGGUACCCUGCGAAUAAGCCCCGGCUAACUACGUGCCAGCAGCCGCGGUAAUACGUAGGGGGCAAGCGUUGUCCGGAUUUAUUGGGCGUAAAGGGCGCGUAGGCGGCUUAGCAAGUCGGAUGUGAAAGCUCCAGGCUCAACCUGGAGAUGCCACCCGAGACUGCUAUGGCUAGAGUCCGGUAGGGGACCACGGAAUACCUGGUGUAGCGGUGAAAUGCGCAGAUAUCAGGUGGAACACCGGUGGCGAAGGCGGUGGUCUGGGCCGGCACUGACGCUGAUGCGCGAAAGCGUGGGUAGCGAACAGGAUUAGAUACCCCUGUAGUCC
Molecule: ribosomal RNA, 776 nt
Filed under: uncultured soil bacterium
Lineage: Bacteria
Description: bacterial SSU rRNA
Rfam family: Bacterial small subunit ribosomal RNA
Source: RNAcentral